AAAAUCAUUUAUGAUACAAUAUAGUAAUCAUAUAUUACCAAUUGGGUUUUUUAUAAACGGAGCCUGUAUACUUCAUUUUAUUGAUCCAACUAAGCCAACCAUAAAUUAUUUGAUAAUAUUAAUCUAGAUCCCCCCAAAAAUAAAAUGGAUCUAAUUGAAUUUCACGCUCCAAAUUGUUGAUGAUUCAAUCAAUCUUUCUUGGGCGAAACAGAGGAUAUCUCGAUCGAGGU
Molecule: long non-coding RNA, 230 nt
Filed under: Vitis vinifera (wine grape)
Lineage: Eukaryota; Viridiplantae; Streptophyta; Magnoliopsida; Vitales; Vitaceae
Description: long non-coding RNA (VVIN_LNC004623)
Source: RNAcentral